Molecule: unclassified non-coding RNA, 588 nt
Filed under: Hevea brasiliensis (rubber tree)
Lineage: Eukaryota; Viridiplantae; Streptophyta; Magnoliopsida; Malpighiales; Euphorbiaceae
Source: RNAcentral
UCCAGUGACCUCCUUUGCCGUUUAGGCAAGGGAUGGUGGCUUGUCCGGCCCGGUAAAGGGUUUCCCUCCCCUUUUUCCAAUUUUGUUGCCCAUAGUUUUGCUUUGUUUGUCUUGUUUGUCUUGUUUGUCAGAUCUUGGGGCGAGCAUGUAGAGGGUUUGAAUGAAGGAUCUGGUUGGGAGUUUGCCGUGGCUAGAUCUGAGAAGUGGUGGCUUGUUUAGCCGAGGAUGGUAAUUGGUGGGGAUUAAAAAGCUGACGGUGGUAGGUCCCUGUAUCGUUCAGCGUCCCAAUUGAUGCCAGCUUUGCUCUUCUCGUUGGGUGGCUCAGCAUCGGAAGCUCAAACCAUUAAAGGGUCAUUUUCUCCGUAGGCGACAGAGGGGGUAAUAAUUCGACUCUAAAAGUGCUCUGAUUCGACUCUUAAAGUGCUCUCUGUGGUUGUGGGUUUCUUUUUGCUGAUCUUCUCUAGUUUAGCCAUGUCUAGGAUUGUGUUUUGCUUUGGUUGUGCUUCGUAGUGUUAUUGGUGGAGUGAGUUUUGCCUAUGGCCUGCUUGUGAAGGUCUACAAGUGGCACCGUAUGAUAUAGCAUUAGUG